GUCCCUAUAGCUCAAUUGGAUAGAGCGCCGCGCUUCGGACGCGGAGGUUCGAGGUCCGAGUCCUCGUAGGGACGCUA
RNAcentral lists this transfer RNA (77 nucleotides) under Candidatus Portnoybacteria bacterium CG_4_10_14_0_8_um_filter_40_50. RNAcentral's name for it is "tRNA-Arg". It matches the Rfam family "tRNA". Rfam says of the family: Transfer RNA (tRNA) molecules are approximately 80 nucleotides in length. Their secondary structure includes four short double-helical elements and three loops (D, anti-codon, and T loops). Further hydrogen bonds mediate the characteristic L-shaped molecular structure. tRNAs have two regions of fundamental functional importance: the anti-codon, which is responsible for specific mRNA codon recognition, and the 3' end, to which the tRNAs corresponding amino acid is attached (by aminoacyl-tRNA synthetases). tRNAs cope with the degeneracy of the genetic code in two manners: having more than one tRNA (with a specific anti-codon) for a particular amino acid; and 'wobble' base-pairing, i.e. permitting non-standard base-pairing at the 3rd anti-codon position. The record is from RNAcentral. RNAcentral also lists the same sequence under 2 other names. Lineage: Bacteria; Candidatus Portnoyibacteriota.